This 465-nucleotide ribosomal RNA is filed under the name Vreelandella stevensii. RNAcentral's name for it is "partial 16S ribosomal RNA". It matches the Rfam family "Bacterial small subunit ribosomal RNA", at positions 338 to 795 of the family's 1533-position model. The record is from RNAcentral. Lineage: Bacteria; Pseudomonadati; Pseudomonadota; Gammaproteobacteria; Oceanospirillales; Halomonadaceae.
CCUACGGGUGGCUGCAGUGGGGAAUAUUGGACAAUGGGCGAAAGCCUGAUCCAGCCAUGCCGCGUGUGUGAAGAAGGCCUUCGGGUUGUAAAGCACUUUCAGUGGGGAAGAAAGCCUUGGGGCUAAUACCCUCGAGGAAGGACAUCACCCACAGAAGAAGCACCGGCUAACUCCGUGCCAGCAGCCGCGGUAAUACGGAGGGUGCGAGCGUUAAUCGGAAUUACGGGGCGUAAAGCGCGCGUAGGCGGUCUGAUAAGCCGGUUGUGAAAGCCCCGGGCUCAACCUGGGAACGGCAUCCGGAACUGUCAGGCUAGAGUGCAGGAGAGGAAGGUAGAAUUCCCGGUGUAGCGGUGAAAUGCGUAGAGAUCGGGAGGAAUACCAGUGGCGAAGGCGGCCUUCUGGACUGACACUGACGCUGAGGUGCGAAAGCGUGGGUAGCAAACAGGAUUAGAUACCCCAGUAGUC